UGCCUCAACAUACAAACCUUCUUCAGCUG
Molecule: non-coding RNA, 29 nt
Filed under: Mus musculus (house mouse)
Lineage: Eukaryota; Metazoa; Chordata; Mammalia; Rodentia; Muridae
Source: RNAcentral